Mauremys reevesii (Reeves's turtle) is the source of this 303-nucleotide long non-coding RNA. RefSeq lists it as uncharacterized. NCBI's taxonomy places the organism in Eukaryota, Metazoa, Chordata, Testudines, Geoemydidae. The record is from RefSeq and is a predicted model, not a curated record. The transcript is spliced from 3 exons.
GAAGCUGUCUGGGAGGAGGGAGAGAGAGACUCCAUGAUUUGGAAGAGAAGCCACAUGCAAGAUAGAAAACCUGGAUGGUCCCAGAGGAUACUGCCCUAAGCCCAAGAACUCUCCAGCAUGUUUGUUUGCUGUCCGAGUCAGUGGGCAUAAAUGAUUUGUGUGUGUGGAAGAUGAAGUGCCAGUUGGAGCAUGACCAAAACAACAGCAGCUGCCAGUCUCCCAGCAGUCACACUCCUUGUGUGAAAAUGUACUGAGGGAGAAACACUUUUUUAAACCUUGAUUGCAAGGUGACGCUACUUUACC